Molecule: microRNA precursor, 92 nt
Organism: Phasianus colchicus (ring-necked pheasant)
Lineage: Eukaryota; Metazoa; Chordata; Aves; Galliformes; Phasianidae
Source: Ensembl
GAUGGACCCGUCCUCCGGUGCCUACUGAGCUGAUAUCAGUUCUGAUUUUACAUACUGGCUCAGUUCAGCAGGAACAGGAGUCGAGCCCUAAA